Molecule: long non-coding RNA, 320 nt
Filed under: Nicotiana benthamiana
Lineage: Eukaryota; Viridiplantae; Streptophyta; Magnoliopsida; Solanales; Solanaceae
Description: long non-coding RNA (NBEN_LNC021637)
Source: RNAcentral
AACUAGUUGCAGCCUCCCAGCAUAUGACAGUUUCUUGGUAGUCCAUGAUGUGAUCCUAGCAGUGAUCUUUUCCACUAAUGGUUGCCACUGAAUCAAUGACAUCUUCUUGGUGGAUAGAGGAAUGCCUAGGUAUUUGAAAGGUAAUUCUCCAUGGCAUAGCCAAGAUGACCAGUAAUCUGCUGCUGUACUUCCUGCUUAACCCCUCAAAAGUAUACUGAGCUUUUGCCCAGAUUAGCUUUCAGUCCCGAGGCUUCAGUGAAUUCGGAAAAGUACUGGAACAUGGUAAUGACAGACUUGAGUUUUCCUUUAGCAAAUAAGAG